This is a long non-coding RNA of Cyprinus carpio (common carp), 2371 nucleotides long. RefSeq lists it as uncharacterized. Lineage: Eukaryota; Metazoa; Chordata; Actinopteri; Cypriniformes; Cyprinidae. The transcript is spliced from 14 exons. The record is from RefSeq and is a predicted model, not a curated record.
ACAAAAAGGCUGACCUGAGUAAAACCAAAGACAAACUGGUAGUUGUCGAAGAAAAGAAACUUGUGGAGACCAACUUCAGUGAUGUAACACCUUUGAAAUUUCUCCAAACCAACACUUCCUCUGAGAGGGAAGAUCAAGACAACAUGGAAGAAGAGGUUGAGGAAGCAUCGUCUGACGAUGAGGAAUAUGAAUAUGAGCUAAAAUACUCAGCAACAACAGCUACAUACACACAAGAAAAUGAGGGUGAGAUGACAACUCCGAUUACACAGUCUUUAGAGGAGAUUACACUGAAAAUUUACAUUUUGGGUGAACUAUACCUUUGAAAUGUUUACAUUUAUGAAGUCAACUCAACAAUGCCUUUAAAAGACAAUUCUUGAACAAGGCAACUGAGGCACAGUGGGACAUGGAGGAAGAGGAUGGUGUGACUGAGACCAAGGAAUACAGUUCAGGUGAUGGUGAUGAAGAGACAGACAGUGAGGAGAUAGAGGAAGAGCUAGAGAGGGAGAGAGAGAGACAGGAGAUGGAAAAAGAAAGGACUGAACUGGAACGAGAAAGAGAAUUAGAACUGGAGAGGAAAGAGAGCUAGAGAGGGAGACAGAGAUGGAGCAAGAGGUAAGUAUGUGCUGUAAAAUCUAUAGUUUCCAUUUCCAUUUCAUAUUCAACAUGGUCUCAGACUUUUGGGCCCCAAUGUAUUUACUGUGAUUAUAUUAUAAUUAUAUAAAAUCUAUUUAAAUAGAUAUAGGAUAACUUUCUUUUAUCAUAAUAGACACAAAUAUAUAAAAACCUAUUCAAUGGUUAUUUUAAUGCUUAAAAUUAGAUUUUGAAUCCCAGAUUUUCAGUGUGGUCUUUACAUCUGUAAAUAAACAAAUUGUGCAUUGUAUGUGCAUUUUUCCUUUCUUGUACAGGGACCUCCAGGUGAAAAUGGAAAACCAGGCCCUAAGGGUCCUAAAGGCAUGACGGGUAUGAAAGGAGAAAAGGGUGAACGUGGGCUUCCAGGAUUUGAUGGAGAUAAAGGAGAGAAGAGGAAAGAUGGUCCACCUGGUGCAAAGGGGCUGAAGGGUGAGGCUGGUACUAAAGGAGGCAUGGGGCCUUAUGGCACACACGGACCAGUAGGACACACUUUAUUCAUGGUCAUAGACUCAUUGGUUUGUGUGUUCAGGGUGAGACAGGAGAGCAUGGUUUACCUGGAGAUACAGGAAUUAAAGGUGAGAAGGCUUCAGAGGUUUCCCAGGUCGAAUAGGAAGUCCGGGACUGGAUGGAGAACAGGGUACAGCCGGUUUCACAGGGUUUAAGGGAUCUCCUGGUGCACCAGGAGCUAAUGGGGCUCUGGGUCAGCCUGGUCCGGUUGGACCUAAAGGUGAAGUGGGACCAAAGGAAAGUAGAUACUCCUGAUGGUGAACACCAAUGAUCCAGAUGAUGGGAGUAUCCUAAAGGAAGAGAGAAGAACAGAUUCUGAUUCUCCGUUCUUGCUCACCCACCCCAAAGUGUGGGAUGAAGAGUUAGAGGACGAGACCACUACAGUUCAUCCUGCUGUUUCAGAGUCUGAGCCAACAUUAGCAUAUGGCAAUGAUACAAGAGCCACUACUGAGGGAGAUGGAGAGCAGGAAGAAAAGAGACGUGCACUCAAACACCACUCAGGAGAAUGCCAUCCUUUUGUGUAUGAUGGCAGUAGAGGAAAUAGGAACCGCUUCAGCUCCAAACGGGACUGUGAGAGUCAAUGUAUUCUGGGGAGGAGAGGUAAAGUGCCAAUCAGAAUGCAGACUUCAGGUUCAGAGAUUCUGGAUACUGGGGAGAAAUGACUAUUUUUAACAGCUAAACUGCAAUUUAUCUGACUAAAAAUGCUAUUUUUAUCCAUCCUAUAUUUAUAUUAGUUUAUCGCAGCUUUAGAUUUAGAUUCUAUAUCAUAUUUACAUUUCACUUCUAUAGCACCACACAUUGUUGCACUUGUAGUGAUACAUGCUUACCUAUGAAUUUCUUACAAAUAUGCCAUGUUUUUAUUUAAAAAUGUUCUUAAUGUCACUGUUUUUAAACUAGUAUGUGAGACAAUUAAAACAAUAAAAUGAAUAUAUUUUUGAAUGAGCUAUAUAGCUUGCUGCUAUAUAUGGGUGUGUGCGUGAGAACAUUUUCACAUCGUGACCUCUGAUUUUGGACCAUGUUCUCUGAGCUUGGACCUGUGGUGUAUAUAAAUGUUACCAUAUUGGCUUUUCCUCUGAAAUGCUUGUCGAGUCGUGUCUGGACGGUGUCUCCUGGGGACAGGCGGAGAAAGUGUGUGUAUGUGUGUGUUCUUUAAGCAAAAAGACUAGCUGCAUUUGUGGGUGGCUGAUAUGUGCACAUUUGUGAACGUAUGUGUUUCCUUCCUCAUUAUUUUUAC